Molecule: unclassified non-coding RNA, 518 nt
Filed under: uncultured Glomeromycotina
Lineage: Eukaryota; Fungi; Glomeromycota
Description: SSU rRNA
Rfam family: Eukaryotic small subunit ribosomal RNA
Source: RNAcentral
CAGCCGCGUAAUUCCAGCUCCAAUAGCGUAUAUUAAAGUUGUUGCAGUUAAAAAGCUCGUAGUUGAACUUCGGGAUCAAUUAGUUGGUCAUGCCUUGGUAUGUACUGAUUUUAUUGGUUCUCACCUUCUAAAGAACUAUAAUGUCAUUUAUUUGAUGUUAUAGGGAAUUAGGACUGUUACCUUGAAAAAAUUAGAGUGUUUAAAGCAGGCUCACGCUUGAAUACAUUAGCAUGGAAUAAUGAAAUAGGACAUCGCAUUCUAUUUUGUUGGUUUCUAGGAUCGAUGUAAUGAUUAAUAGGGAUAGUUGGGGGCAUUAGUAUUCAAUUGUCAGAGGUGAAAUUCUUGGAUUUAUUGAAGACUAACUACUGCGAAAGCAUUUGCCAAGGAUGUUUUCAUUAAUCAAGAACGAAAGUUAGGGGAUCGAAGACGAUCAGAUACCGUCGUAGUCUUAACCAUAAACUAUGCCGACUAGGGAUCGGAUGAUGUUGAUUUUUUAAUGACUCAUUCGGCACCUUACA